GAUGAACGCUGGCGGCGUGCCUAAUACAUGCAAGUCGAGCGAACAGACGAGGAGCUUGCUCCUCUGACGUUAGCGGCGGACGGGCGAGUAACACGUGGAUAACCUACCUAUAAUACUGGGAUAACUUCGGGAAACCGGAGCUAAUACCAGAUAAUACAUUGAACCGCAUGGUUCAAUAGUGAAUGACGGCUUUGCUGUCACUUAUAGAUGGAUCCGCGCCGCAUUAGCUAGUUGGUAAGGUAACGGCUUACCAAGGCAACGAUGCGUAGCCGACCUGAGAGGGUGAUCAGCCACACUGGAACUGAGACACGGUCCAGACUCCUACGGGAGGCAGCAGUAGGGAAUCUUCCGCAAUGGGCGAAAGCCUGACGGAGCCACGCCGCGUGAGUGAUGAAGGUCUUCGGAUCGUAAAACUCUGUUAUUAGGGAAGAAAAAAUGUGUAAGUAACUAUGCACGUCUUGACGGUACCUAAUCAGAAAGCCACGGCUAACUACGUG
RNAcentral lists this ribosomal RNA (497 nucleotides) under uncultured bacterium. RNAcentral describes it as "partial 16S ribosomal RNA". It matches the Rfam family "Bacterial small subunit ribosomal RNA", at positions 28 to 507 of the family's 1533-position model. The record is from RNAcentral.